GGUUGUGGCUCAGUGGUAGAGUGCUUGCCUCGAAUAUGAGGCACUGGGUUCAAUUCUCAGCAUCA
RNAcentral lists this transfer RNA (65 nucleotides) under Marmota monax (woodchuck). Its description in RNAcentral is "tRNA.Arg". Lineage: Eukaryota; Metazoa; Chordata; Mammalia; Rodentia; Sciuridae. The record is from RNAcentral.